GCAGCCUGAUCCAGCCAUACCGCGUGGGUGAAGAAGGCCUUCGGGUUGUAAAGCCCUUUUGUUGGGAAAGAAAUCCAGCUGGCUAAUACCCGGUUGGGAUGACGGUACCCAAAGAAUAAGCACCGGCUAACUUCGUGCCAGCAGCCGCGGUAAUACGAAGGGUGCAAGCGUUACUCGGAAUUACUGGGCGUAAAGCGUGCGUAGGUGGUCGUUUAAGUCCGUUGUGAAAGCCCUGGGCUCAACCUGGGAACUGCAGUGGAUACUGGGCGACUAGAAUGUGGUAGAGGGUAGCGGAAUUCCUGGUGUAGCAGUGAAAUGCGUAGAGAUCAGGAGGAACAUCCAUGGCGAAGGCAGCUACCUGGACCAACAUUGACACUGAGGCACGAAAGCGUGGGGAGCAAACAGGAUUAGAUACCCUGGUAGUCCACGCCCUAAACGAUGCGAACUGGAUGUUGGGUGCAAUUUGGCACGCAGUAUCGAAGCUAACGCGUUAAGUUCGCCGCCUGGGGAGUACGGUCGCAAGACUGAAACUCAAAGGAAUUGACGGGGGCCCGCACAAGCGGUGGAGUAUGUGGUUUAAUUCGAUGCAACGCGAAGAACCUUACCUGGCCUUGACAUGUCGAGAACUUUCCAGAGAUGGAUGGGUGCCUUCGGGAACUCGAACACAGGUGCUGCAUGGCUGUCGUCAGCUCGUGA
Molecule: ribosomal RNA, 696 nt
Filed under: Stenotrophomonas sp.
Lineage: Bacteria; Pseudomonadati; Pseudomonadota; Gammaproteobacteria; Lysobacterales; Lysobacteraceae
Description: bacterial SSU rRNA
Rfam family: Bacterial small subunit ribosomal RNA
Source: RNAcentral